GCGCACAUAGUUCAGUGGCAGAACGCUGUCCUGAUAAGACAGAGGUCCUUGGUUCGAUUCCAAGUGUGCGCAUCA
This 75-nucleotide transfer RNA is filed under the name Candidatus Nomurabacteria bacterium RIFCSPHIGHO2_02_FULL_42_24. Its description in RNAcentral is "tRNA-Ile". It matches the Rfam family "tRNA". From Rfam's summary of the family: Transfer RNA (tRNA) molecules are approximately 80 nucleotides in length. Their secondary structure includes four short double-helical elements and three loops (D, anti-codon, and T loops). Further hydrogen bonds mediate the characteristic L-shaped molecular structure. tRNAs have two regions of fundamental functional importance: the anti-codon, which is responsible for specific mRNA codon recognition, and the 3' end, to which the tRNAs corresponding amino acid is attached (by aminoacyl-tRNA synthetases). tRNAs cope with the degeneracy of the genetic code in two manners: having more than one tRNA (with a specific anti-codon) for a particular amino acid; and 'wobble' base-pairing, i.e. permitting non-standard base-pairing at the 3rd anti-codon position. The record is from RNAcentral. Lineage: Bacteria; Candidatus Nomuraibacteriota. RNAcentral also lists the same sequence under 1 other name.